Molecule: antisense RNA, 75 nt
Filed under: Pseudofrankia inefficax
Lineage: Bacteria; Bacillati; Actinomycetota; Actinomycetes; Frankiales; Frankiaceae
Description: Frankia sp. EuI1c ASpks TB sRNA
Rfam family: ASpks TB sRNA
Source: Rfam by way of RNAcentral
UUUGAUCGAGCCGAGGUGGAGCGGCUGGUCACCGGACCGCUGUUGGCCGUAGGUGGCGAGCAGGGCUUGGGCCUC